CGCAUCUGUGCAUGCAGCAUAUCAAUAAGCGGAGGAAAAGAGGGCUAUUACCUACGCUUAGGAUGUUGACGAGACUGUCGAUCUCAUCUAUACAUGACUCUGUGCAUAUCAAUAAGCGGAGGAAAAGAAACUAACAAGGAUUCCCCUAGUAACGGCGAGUGAAGCGGGAAGAGCUCAAAUUUGAAAUCUUAAAGGGUUUCCCUUUACGAAUUGUAGUUUAAAGAAGUGUUUUCUGUUGGGGUUUUGGUAAAAGUUCUUUGGAAUAGGACAUCAUAGAGGGUGAGAAUCCCGUAUUUGACCUUUACUUUCAACUUUGUGAUACACUUUCAAAGAGUCAGAUUGUUUGGGAAUGCAGUCCAAAAUGGGUGGUAAAUUUCAUCUAAAGCUAAAUAUUGGCGAGAGACCGAUAGCGAACAAGUACCGUGAGGGAAAGAUGAAAAGAACUUUGAAAAGAGAGUUAAACAGUACGUGAAAUUGUCAAAAGGGAAGCGUUUGACACCAGUGUUGUUUUUCUGAAAAUCAAUUAAAGAACUGUUUAUGCUAAGCUGUUUAGACUUUAUCAGCUAUCUGUUUAGUUUUGAGCUUUUCUUUAAUGCACUUUUCAGUUAACAAGUCAACAUCAAUUUCUUUUGCUGUAAAAAAGCUUGAGGAAGGUGGCUUGAGAUUCGUCUUAAGUGUUUAUAGCCUCUUGCCUAUGCAGUCGGAGAGAUUGAGGUCUGCAGCGUAGAUCCUUCGGGGCUAAAUGCAUUUGUGCUAAGUUAUAGCAUUUUAUAGACAACUUGUUGACUAUGAUUUGUCUUGUAGCUUACUCGCUUAUGUUAUUUUACCUACGCUUAGGAUGUUGACGAGACUGUCGAUCUC
Molecule: ribosomal RNA, 861 nt
Filed under: uncultured Neocallimastigales
Lineage: Eukaryota; Fungi; Neocallimastigomycota; Neocallimastigomycetes; Neocallimastigales
Description: partial large subunit ribosomal RNA
Rfam family: Eukaryotic large subunit ribosomal RNA
Source: RNAcentral